AAAUAGAAACCCUAUGAAGGGCAGAAUGUUUAAGCCACAAAAAGGGCGUACAAAAUAAUUACAAAAAGCCACAAAGGGCAUGAUAAGUUCAUUACAGCAACAAAGAAAACCAUUCACGGAGGAGGGAUAUAAGGGACGAGCUUCCCAUCCACGAUCCGGUUCAUCGCAUCAGCCUCGCCUAGACCCUCAGCAUCCAAAUCC
RNAcentral lists this long non-coding RNA (201 nucleotides) under Trifolium pratense (red clover). RNAcentral describes it as "long non-coding RNA (TPRA_LNC011758)". The record is from RNAcentral. Lineage: Eukaryota; Viridiplantae; Streptophyta; Magnoliopsida; Fabales; Fabaceae.